Long non-coding RNA from Oxyura jamaicensis (ruddy duck), 964 nucleotides. RefSeq lists it as uncharacterized. The transcript is spliced from 3 exons. Lineage: Eukaryota; Metazoa; Chordata; Aves; Anseriformes; Anatidae. The record is from RefSeq and is a predicted model, not a curated record.
AUACAUCAGACCAGGCAUUGCAAGACUCACCCAGUCAGCUACUUCCCAUCCAGGGCACAGGAUUAUUGCCUGGGGAAAUUAUUUAUUUGUUGCAGCUGCCAAAAGCUCCGGGUGUGAGCUGGGUGGGUUGAAAUCACCUGUGAACAGAUCCCCUCCCCUAUAAAUUGUCACCCACCAGGUGCCACUCAGAAAUUGUAAUCUGUGGUAAGGUUGGGGCCUUCCUUCUCUCUAAGUCAAUGGUAUUACAGUAGGGGUGCAGUUGGCCUUAAGAACAAACAGAACAAACUCUUGCCUUAGUUGCUGGAGAUAUUAGUCAUUAGAAAAGCAAACAGCCCAGUGCUUCUGAGAGUCAGUAGCACAGAGAACAGAUAAAACUAAUACUUUCCAAACCACCAUAACCUUCCUUUAAUGCUUUUAUGGAUCUAAUCUUUUAAAUCGAUUUUAAAGAAAACAGACAAAAGUUCUUAGCCCUAGCCCUGACCUGUUAGUCAUCGGUGCUGGAUGGUAGGCAAAGCUUAAGUUGUAAUCUGCUAAAGCAGCAGUGUGUACAAAGGGACGAGCCUUCAACUGGAGCAGUGGAAGGCUGCCACCAGCAGCUCCAGUGACUAAUGUGCAAACUGGGCAAAGCUUAUUUAUUUACUUGGUUAACCCCUUCUCUUCAGAAACAAGGGAAAACACCCUGCCUUUGGUAGAUUAACUGAUGCUAAUGCUACAUCCCCUCUGUAGGAGCCAAGGAUCUGACUUGGAUGGACUGCAAUCAUCAAAAAGGUCCCAGAUCUCCGCUGCAGAAGUCCAGGAGGAAAAGGACAGCCCAGUAACUCCCCUCCCCGCAGGCAUCUGCACUGGCAGCUUCCCUGCUCAUUGGCCACCACUGGCCAAAUGUGACAUCCCUGCAUCCCCUCCCCAAACAGCCCGCUCACUGCUGCCUGUGCGGUGCAAGCCUGCCAAUAAAGUUCUGAAAUCA